GUGGAGGAGGCUGCUCCCUGCUUCUGGCUGUCACGGACCUGCCGCCUCCAACUACUCCGCAUCCGCCGAGCCUGCCCGGGUCCCGGCGCUUGUCUAUGGGCACCACGGGGAUUCAGCCAAGGUCGUUGAACUGAAGAACCUGGAGCUAGCUGCUGUGGGAGGAUCAGACGUCCUCGUGAAGAUGCUGACGGCCCCUAUCAAUCCAUCUGACAUAAAUAUGAUCCAAGGAAACUACGGCCUCCUUCCCGAACUGCCUGCUGUUGGAGGGAACGAAGGUGUUGCCCAGGUGGUAGCGGUGGGCAGCAGUGUGACCGGGCUGAAGCCAGGAGACUGGAUGAUUCCUGCAAAUGCUGGUUUGGGAACCUGGCGGACCGAGGCUGUGUUCAGCGAGGAAGCACGGAUCCAAGUUCCGAGUGACAUCCCUCUUGAGAGCGCUGCCACCCUGGGUGUCCAUCCCUGCACAGCCUACAGGAUGUUGGUGGACUUCGAGCAGCUGCAGCCAGGGGAUUCUGUCAUCCAGAAUGCAUCCAACAGUGGAGUGGGCCAAGUGGCCAUCCAGAUCGCUGCAGCUCUGGACCUGAGAAUCAUCAAUGUGGUCCGAGAGGAGGAACCAUGGUGACCUAUGGGGGAAUGGCCAAGCAGCCCGUUAUAGCAUCUGUGAACCUGCUCAUUUUUAAGGAUCUCAAACUUCGGGGCUUUUGGUUGUCCCAGUGGAAGAAGGAUCACAGUCUAGACCAGUUCAAGGAGCUGAUCCUCACACUGUGCUAUCUCAUCCGCCAAGGCCAGCUCACAGCCCCUGCCUGCUCCCAGGUCCCGCUGCAGGACUACCAGCGUGCCUUGGAAGCCUCCAUGAAGCCCUUUGUGUCUUCAAAGCAGAUUCUCACCAUGUGAUCAUCCCAAAAGAGCUGGAGUGACAUGGGAAGGAAGGAGGAUCCGAGGGGCUGGGUGCAGGCCCCUCAAUCAGAGCUCUCACCUUCCCCAGACUACUGCCCUCCUCACUGCCUCUUCCUAUUAGGAGGAUAGUGAAGCCAGCCACAGUUUUUCCCUACCGUCAGCCUUAAGGCAUCUAAUAAAAUCUGAACUCUCCCCUCCAAAAAAA
Molecule: RNA transcript, 1099 nt
Organism: Sapajus apella (tufted capuchin)
Lineage: Eukaryota; Metazoa; Chordata; Mammalia; Primates; Cebidae
Gene name: enoyl-[acyl-carrier-protein] reductase, mitochondrial pseudogene
Exons: 1
Source: RefSeq, a predicted model, not a curated record